CCUACGUGUGGCAGCAGUGAGGAAUAUUGGUCAAUGGGCGCGAGCCUGAACCAGCCAAGUAGCGUGAAGGAUGACUGCCCUACGGGUUGUAAACUUCUUUUAUAAAGGAAUAAAGUGAGGCCCGUGUGCCUUUUUGUAUGUACUUUAUGAAUAAGGAUCGGCUAACUCCGUGCCACCAGCCGCGGUAAUACGGAGGAUCCGAGCGUUAUCCGGAUUUAUUGGGUUUAAAGGGAGCGUAGAUGGGUUGUUAAGUCAGUUGUGAAAGUUUGCGGCUCAACCGUAAAAUUGCAAUUGCUACUGGUAGGCUUGAGUACAGUUGAGGUAGGCGGAAUUCGUGGUGUAGCGGUGAAAUGCUUAGAUAUCACGAAGAACUCCGAUUGCGAAGGCAGCUUACUAAACUGCAACUGACAUUGAUGCUCGAAAGUGUGGGUAUCAAACAGGAUGAGAUACCCGGGUAGUC
Molecule: ribosomal RNA, 460 nt
Filed under: uncultured bacterium
Lineage: Bacteria
Description: partial 16S ribosomal RNA
Rfam family: Bacterial small subunit ribosomal RNA
Source: RNAcentral